UAGGGAAUCUUCGGCAAUGGACGGAAGUCUGACCGAGCAACGCCGCGUGAGUGAAGAAGGUUUUCGGAUCGUAAAGCUCUGUUGUUAGAGAAGAACGUUGGUAGGAGUGGAAAAUCUACCAAGUGACGGUAACUAACCAGAAAGGGACGGCUAACUACGUGCCAGCAGCCGCGGUAAUACGUAGGUCCCGAGCGUUGUCCGGAUUUAUUGGGCGUAAAGCGAGCGCAGGCGGUUCUUUAAGUCUGAAGUUAAAGGCAGUGGCUUAACCAUUGUACGCUUUGGAAACUGGAGGACUUGAGUGCAGAAGGGGGGAGUGGAAUUCCAUGUGUAGCGGUGAAAUGCGUAGUUAUAUGGAGGAACACCGGUGGCGAAAGCGGCUCUCUGGUCUGUAACUGACGCUGAGGCUCGAAAGCGUGGGGAGCAAACAGG
This 429-nucleotide ribosomal RNA is filed under the name Bacillota bacterium. Its description in RNAcentral is "Firmicutes bacterium partial 16S ribosomal RNA". It matches the Rfam family "Bacterial small subunit ribosomal RNA", at positions 355 to 776 of the family's 1533-position model. The record is from RNAcentral. Lineage: Bacteria; Bacillati; Bacillota.